Molecule: ribosomal RNA, 311 nt
Filed under: uncultured fungus
Lineage: Eukaryota; Fungi
Description: eukaryotic LSU rRNA
Rfam family: 5.8S ribosomal RNA (bases 1-52)
Source: RNAcentral
AACGCACCUUGCGCCCUUUGGUAUUCCGAAGGGCAUGCCUGUUUGAGUGUCAUUAAAUUCUCAACCUUGCUCGCCUUUACCGGCUUGAGUGAGGCUUGGACGUGAGGGCUUUGCUGGCUUCCUUAAGUGGAUGGUCUGCUCCCUUUAAAUGCAUUAGUGGGAUCUCUUGUGGACCGUCACUUGGUGUGAUAAUUAUCUACGCCUCGUCGACUUUGAAGCAAACUUAUGGGAACCUGCUUAUAACCGUCUCGCGAGGGACAACUUUCUGACAUUUUGACCUCAAAUCAGGUAGGACUACCCGCUGAACUUAA